CCUGCCUCAGCCUCCCGAGUAGCUGGGACUACAGGCGCCCGCGACUACGCCCGGCUAAUUUUUUGUAUUUUUAGUAGAGACGGGGUUUCACCGUGUUAGCCAGGAUGGUCUUCGUCUCCUGACCUCGUGAUCCGCCCGCCUCGGUCCCCUAAAGUGCUGGGAUUACAGGCAUACACUCUUAAGUAACCUGGUGGGGACCCAUCAAACUACAAAGGGUUAUAGCUACUCUUACAGAAGACAUAAGAAGAUAUAUACGCAGAGAAGACAUCAUAAGACCUGAAGAUGAAAAACUUCUGAUCACAGAAGAAAGAUAUACAACAGCCUUGAAGCAUUCUGAGAACCCAGUGAAGGCAAUAAUGUCUCUUCCCAGAGAAAUUCACAGGUAGCCCCUAGAAGCUUGGAACUGCCCUCAGACUACAGCCAGGAAGCAGACAGGGACUUCAGUUCCACAGCCACAAGGAGCUGAAUUCUGCCAACCAGAAUGAGCAAGAACAUGGAUUCUCCCCUCAAGCCUCCAGAAAAGAAUGCAGCCUACAGUCAGCACUUUAAGUCCCAUGCAACCUAUAAUAGAUUUCUGACCUACAGAGCUUUAAUGUCAUAAAUUGGUGUUGUUUUAAGUCAUGAAGUUUGUGGUAGCUUCUUAUGACAGUAAUUGAAAACUAAUACCUGGUCUUUUUAGCAGAAUAACGAGCACCCUGUAAUGUGUCAUUCAUGCAUAUCUUUUUUUUUUUUUUUUUUUUGGUGGGGGCAGGAAGACAAAACUCUAGAGUUUAAUCUUCCAGCUGACUGACUUGGAAGUGUUCCUGUCAAUAUAAAAGAUCUUGUUGGGGG
This 831-nucleotide long non-coding RNA is filed under the name Homo sapiens (human). Its description in RNAcentral is "HSALNT0143384". Lineage: Eukaryota; Metazoa; Chordata; Mammalia; Primates; Hominidae. The record is from RNAcentral.